UGGGGAUGGACCAUCCCG
This 18-nucleotide small nuclear RNA is filed under the name Arabidopsis thaliana (thale cress). Its description in RNAcentral is "snRNA_18272". Lineage: Eukaryota; Viridiplantae; Streptophyta; Magnoliopsida; Brassicales; Brassicaceae. The record is from RNAcentral.